GGCUCUGUAGUUCAAUGGAUAGAAUGCAAGUUUCCGGAACUUGAUAUGUAGGUUCGAUUCCUACCAGGGCUA
This 72-nucleotide transfer RNA is filed under the name Chitinophagales bacterium. RNAcentral's name for it is "tRNA-Arg". It matches the Rfam family "tRNA". From Rfam's summary of the family: Transfer RNA (tRNA) molecules are approximately 80 nucleotides in length. The record is from RNAcentral. Lineage: Bacteria; Pseudomonadati; Bacteroidota; Chitinophagia; Chitinophagales.